AUGCAGCCAUGCCGCGUGUGUGAAGAAGGCCUUCGGGUUGUAAAGCACUUUCAGUCGUGAGGAAGGURGUGUAGUUAAUAGCUGCAUUAUUUGACGUUAGCGACAGAAGAAGCACCGGCUAACUCCGUGCCAGCAGCCGCGGUAAUACGGAGGGUGCGAGCGUUAAUCGGAAUUACUGGGCGUAAAGCGCAUGCAGGUGGUUUGUUAAGUCAGAUGUGAAAGCCCGGGGCUCAACCUCGGAAUAGCAUUUGAAACUGGCAGACUAGAGUACUGUAGAGGGGGGUAGAAUUUCAGGUGUAGCGGUGAAAUGCGUAGAGAUCUGAAGGAAUACCGGUGGCGAAGGCGGCCCCCUGGACAGAUACUGACACUCAGAUGCGAAAGCGUGGGGAGCAAACAGGAUUAGAUACCCUGGUAGUCCACGCCGUAAACGAUGUCUACUUGGAGGUUGUGGCCUUGAGCCGUGGCUUUCGGAGCUAACGCGUUAAGUAGACCGCCUGGGGAGUACGGUCGCAAGAUUAAAACUAAG
This 526-nucleotide ribosomal RNA is filed under the name uncultured bacterium. RNAcentral describes it as "bacterial SSU rRNA". It matches the Rfam family "Bacterial small subunit ribosomal RNA", at positions 386 to 904 of the family's 1533-position model. The record is from RNAcentral.